Molecule: ribosomal RNA, 562 nt
Filed under: uncultured Okeania sp.
Lineage: Bacteria; Bacillati; Cyanobacteriota; Cyanophyceae; Oscillatoriales; Microcoleaceae
Description: bacterial SSU rRNA
Rfam family: Bacterial small subunit ribosomal RNA
Source: RNAcentral
GAAACUUCUGCUAAUCCCGGAUGAGCCUAAUGGUAAAAGAUAAAUUGCCUGGAGAUGAGCUCGCGUCUGAUUAGCUAGUUGGUGUGGUAAAAGCAUACCAAGGCAACGAUCAGUAGCUGGUCUGAGAGGAUGAGCAGCCACACUGGGACUGAGACACGGCCCAGACUCCUACGGGAGGCAGCAGUGGGGAAUUUUCCGCAAUGGGCGAAAGCCUGACGGAGCAAGACCGCGUGGGGGAGGAAGGCUUUAGGGUUGUAAACCCCUUUUCUUUGGGAAGAAGUUCUGACGGUACCAAAGGAAUCAGCCUCGGCUAACUCCGUGCCAGCAGCCGCGGUAAUACGGAGGAGGCAAGCGUUAUCCGGAAUGAUUGGGCGUAAAGCGUCCGCAGGUGGCCAUGUAAGUCUGCUGUCAAAACCCAGGGCUCAACUCUGGUCAGGCAGUGGAAACUACAAAGCUAGAGUCUGGUAGGGGCAAAGGGAAUUCCCGGCGUAGCGGUGAAAUGCGUAGAUUUCGGGAAGAACAUCGGUGGCGAAAGCGCUUUGCUAGACCAGAACUGACACUC